This 309-nucleotide ribosomal RNA is filed under the name Triticum aestivum (bread wheat). RNAcentral describes it as "partial small subunit ribosomal RNA". Lineage: Eukaryota; Viridiplantae; Streptophyta; Magnoliopsida; Poales; Poaceae. The record is from RNAcentral.
AUGCCCCCCGGCGGGCGGCGGAGGCGGGGGCUAGGGUUUGCGGUGCGGAAGGAGGAGAUGAACAAGGGCCGGCGCGGCGGCGGCGGCUGCGGCCGCUCGGGAGAUCCGACCCCCGAGCCGAAGAGGUCGUCCUCGUCGAGCUCGAAGGCCGCCGAGGCGGGCUGGUCGCCGGCGGCCGCGCGGGGGAGGAAUGCGCCGAGGAAGCGCUCGGAGCUGGGCGAGCUCUUGUGGCGCGCGCGAUCCAUGGCGAGCGCGAGGCGAGGCUGUGCGGGCGGGCGGUGUAACGUCUGGCGCCGUAUUUGCGAUUGA